Molecule: long non-coding RNA, 551 nt
Organism: Macadamia integrifolia
Lineage: Eukaryota; Viridiplantae; Streptophyta; Magnoliopsida; Proteales; Proteaceae
Exons: 2
Source: RefSeq, a predicted model, not a curated record
UGAUUGCAUUUAGCUGGGACUAUUGUUCAUUGUUACUUAAAUCUAUAUUUUUAGUCUCAAUGUUCAUCAUGUAUGCCACCACUCCAUGCUCCCAAUGCUCAAAAUGAAGGAGAUGGCAUUGUUGUUAGAAGAAGCAUUGGAAGAUAAUCGAUGUUUACCACUAGUGUUAAUGACAUCAACCAAAGUGGGUUAAGAUUUGUGAAUGUAAGAUGCAAAUAUCCUGAACCCAAAAGGGCAUUGGUGCGAAUUUCAGAGUCUAGUUCGAACCCAAACAUGUUGUACUACUACUGCCCUGAAGCACCAAAAGGAUGUUGAUCUUCUCAUGGUGUGACCCUAUUGCUGCACUAAGACUUUUGCCUUAGGCAAUUAAUUCAGAAGCAGCUGUUGGUGAAAGAAUUCAGGGUCAACAGAUGAAAGAAGAGAUUUGUGUCUUGAAGAAAAGAAUUAAGCAUUUAGAGAAAGCGUAUGGAACGAUGAAGAUUGUAAUUGGUGUGCUUGUGGUGAUCUGUUUAGUGUUAUGUGUUAAAAAAUGACUUUACAAUGUUUAAUAA